Molecule: long non-coding RNA, 2012 nt
Filed under: Gossypium raimondii (Peruvian cotton)
Lineage: Eukaryota; Viridiplantae; Streptophyta; Magnoliopsida; Malvales; Malvaceae
Description: long non-coding RNA (GRAI_LNC004683)
Source: RNAcentral
GAAAUUUGAGUGAAUACUCUUAAGAAUUAUUAUUACUCCCCACUCAAGUGUUUUACAAUGAAGGGAGAGGCCUUUAUUUAUAAUUGAGCCUCCUCAAAUCCAACGGUAUAGAUCAAUUACAUCAAUGGCUAAGAUUAAAGGGUAUCUACAAAUUAAAUCUCUAAGAUUACAAAAUCAUAUCUUCUAAGCAUACCAUAUCUAAGAUUGCAUAUAUCAUAUCUAAGAUUGCAUAUCCUUGAAGAUUAUGUUUCCAUAGGCUUGUAGAUGGACCUUCAACCUUUUCAAGUAAUGGGUCAUUCCGAUCGGGCCAAAUGAUAUAAUUUUGGACUGGACUUGGACUUUGUUUUAUUAUUUUGGGUUUAUUAAUUUUUUGUGAGCCCGGGCUAAAUUGGCCUAUUACAGCUGCCCCUCUUUGCUCAUUGUCAUGUAACGAGAAUGGAGCAAAGACUAUAAAAGGGCCAAUUUUGCCCGAUCGUGUUGGACAUUGGUGUGCUUCUUCUUCAAGUAGCCUCUUCCUGACCCAUUGUAGCUUUAGGGAGAUAAGGCUCACUUCCUUCAACCUAUUCCACUGCAACUUCAGGGAGAUAAGAUUGAUAUCUUCAACUGGCUCCACUGUAACUUCAGGGAGAUAAGGUUGGUUAUCUUCAGUCUUGAUCUACUCCACUGCAACGUUAUGGAAACAAGAUUCGCUACCUUGAGCUUUAAUCUAUUCUACUGUAAUGACAAGGAGAUAAGAUUCGCUGCCUUCUAUCUUCUCCAUUACUACUUAGGGAUACAGGAUCUACAAUCUUCGACCUACUCCACUGCUGCUCAGGGAGAAGGGAUUGGUGGCUUAAAUUUGCUUCCCUACUACCUUGGGAAGAUAGGAUUUGCUGCCUUCGAUCUGGUCCACUACUUCUUAGGGAGACAGGAUCUACAAUCUUCAACCUACUCCACCGCUGCUCAAGGAGAUAGGACUGGUGGCUUAAAUCUGCUUCCCUACUACCUUGGGAAUAUAAGAUUUACCAUCUUCGAUCUGCUCCACACUGCUUAGGGAGACAAGAUCUACAAUCUUCAAUCUACUUCACUGCCAAUACAUGAAGACAAGAUCUGUUAUCUUCAAUCUACUUCGCUGCCAAUACAGGAAGACAAGAUUUGCUAUUUUCGAUCUACUUCGCUGCCAAUACAGGAAGACAAGAUUUGCUAUCUUCGCUACGAGUACAAGAAGACAACAUCUAGAGCAGAAGAAAAUAGUGUUUCUUCCGCAACUAGGUUCUGAUUGGAACCGGUUGGUAGAGUCUCCAUGCAAAGGUAUCUCAUGGGACCUCAUGGGACCUCAUGGGACAAUGGAGGAAGAAAAGGUCUAGAGCAGAAGAUGAUUAAUUGUAAAUAAACUAGUACCGAUCCCACGUAGACCUGAUUUAAGCAGAAGACGAUUAAUUGUGAAGAAACUAGUAUUGAAAAUAAUUGUAUUAUUUCUUAAGAAUGUUAUAUUUAUCAUUUUAAAAAUAAUUUAAAAUAAUAUUUAAAAUUAAAUAAGAUAUUUUAUUUCUCGGUUACCUUGUGCACAAUGCUUGCAAUGUGGUCGUUGUCAUUUAAAAGAACAUUCAGAUUAGGAUCCAUGGAAUGGUUGGCGGUCGUCGGCGAUGGUUAAGCGUGAACAGCAGCAGUCGUCGGCAGUGGUUGAGAGUGGCGGUGGACGGAAUGGCCUAUUUAUAGUGGGGGACCAUUUGAAAGGGGGGCAAAAUUGGAAAAAAAUUUAAUACUUCUGACACACUUUUUUUUUUCAUUCAAUUUGAUUUAUUUCAUUUAAUUUUAAGCACUCAAUUUUAUGACACACUUUUUUUUCUACCAAUCUGAUUUAUUUCAUUCAAUCUGACACACUUUCUUUUUUUUUUUCAUUCAAUUUUAAGCAUGCCAACAUCUGACACACUUUUUUUUUUCAUUCAUUUCAAUGUUUUUUCUACAUCUAACACCCUUUUUUUUUCAUUCAAUCUCAUUUAUUUCAAUUUUAUUUUUCUAUAUCUAACACC